Molecule: ribosomal RNA, 424 nt
Filed under: Verrucomicrobiota bacterium
Lineage: Bacteria; Pseudomonadati; Verrucomicrobiota
Description: Verrucomicrobia bacterium partial 16S ribosomal RNA
Rfam family: Bacterial small subunit ribosomal RNA
Source: RNAcentral
UGAGGAAUAUUGGUCAAUGGACGCAAGUCUGAACCAGCCAAGUAGCGUGCAGGAUGACGGCCCUAUGGGUUGUAAACUGCUUUUAUAUGGGGAUAAAGUGGGGAACGUGUUCCCUUUUGCAGGUACCAUAUGAAUAAGGACCGGCUAAUUCCGUGCCAGCAGCCGCGGUAAUACGGAAGGUUCGGGCGUUAUCCGGAUGUAUUGGGUUUAAAGGGAGCGUAGGCCGUUUGGUAAGCGUGUUGUGAAAUGUAGGAGCUCAACUUCUAGAUUGCAGCGCGAACUGUCAGACUUGAGUGCGCACAACGUAGGCGGAAUUCAUGGUGUGGCGGUGAAAUGCUUAGAUAUCAUGAAGAACUCCGAUUGCGAAGGCAGCUUACGGGAGCGCAACUGACGCUGAAGCUCGAAGGUGCGGGUAUCGAACAGG